This 429-nucleotide ribosomal RNA is filed under the name Bacteroidota bacterium. RNAcentral describes it as "Bacteroidetes bacterium partial 16S ribosomal RNA". It matches the Rfam family "Bacterial small subunit ribosomal RNA", at positions 355 to 776 of the family's 1533-position model. The record is from RNAcentral. Lineage: Bacteria; Pseudomonadati; Bacteroidota. RNAcentral also lists the same sequence under 1 other name.
UAGGGAAUCUUCGGCAAUGGGGGGAACCCUGACCGAGCAACGCCGCGUGAGUGAAGAAGGUUUUCGGAUCGUAAAGCUCUGUUGUUAAGGAAGAACGAGUGUGAGAAUGGAAAGUUCAUGCUGUGACGGUACUUAACCAGAAAGGGACGGCUAACUACGUGCCAGCAGCCGCGGUAAUACGUAGGUCCCGAGCGUUGUCCGGAUUUAUUGGGCGUAAAGCGAGCGCAGGCGGUUAGAAAAGUCUGAAGUGAAAGGCAGUGGCUCAACCAUUGUAGGCUUUGGAAACUGUUUAACUUGAGUGCAGAAGGGGAGAGUGGAAUUCCAUGUGUAGCGGUGAAAUGCGUAGAUAUAUGGAGGAGCACCGGUGGCGAAAGCGGCUCUCUGGUCUGUAACUGACGCUGAGGCUCGAAAGCGUGGGGAGCGAACAGG